AGGACGAACGCUGGCGGCGUGCUUAACACAUGCAAGUCGAGCGAGGCCCCGUCUUCGGGUGGGUGUCCUAGCGGCGAACGGGUGAGUAACACGUGGGCAACCUGCCCCCGGCUCUGGGAUAACUCCAAGAAAUUGGGGCUAAUACCGGAUAUGACUGCUGACCGCAUGGUCUGGUGGUGGAAAGAUUUAUCGGCUGGGGAUGGGCCCGCGGCCUAUCAGCUUGUUGGUGGGGUAGUGGCCUACCAAGGCGACGACGGGUAGCCGGCCUGAGAGGGUGACCGGCCACACUGGGACUGAGACACGGCCCAGACUCCUACGGGAGGCAGCAGUGGGGAAUAUUGCGCAAUGGGCGAAAGCCUGACGCAGCGACGCCGCGUGGGGAUGACGGCCUCGGUUGUAACUCUUCUAGCAGGACGAAGCGAAGUAGACGGUACCGUGCAGAAGAAGACGACCGGCCAACUACGUGCCAGCACGCCGC
Molecule: ribosomal RNA, 478 nt
Filed under: uncultured soil bacterium
Lineage: Bacteria
Description: bacterial SSU rRNA
Rfam family: Bacterial small subunit ribosomal RNA
Source: RNAcentral